RNAcentral lists this ribosomal RNA (269 nucleotides) under uncultured archaeon. RNAcentral's name for it is "partial 16S ribosomal RNA". It matches the Rfam family "Archaeal small subunit ribosomal RNA", at positions 477 to 746 of the family's 1478-position model. The record is from RNAcentral.
CAGCACCUCAAGUGGUCAGGAUGAUUAUUGGGCCUAAAGCAUCCGUAGCCGGCGCUGUAAGUUUUCGGUUAAAUCUGUACGCUCAACGUACAGGCUGCCGGGAAUACUGCAGCGCUAGGGAGUGGGAGAGGUAGACGGUACUCGGUAGGAAGGGGUAAAAUCCUUUGAUCUAUUGAUGACCACCUGUGGCGAAGGCGGUCUACCAGAACACGUCCGACGGUGAGGGAUGAAAGCUGGGGGAGCAAACCGGAUUAGAUACCCGUGUAGUC